AUUUAUUCAUUUGUUUAUAGUAAGUAAUUUAUUUGUAUUUGGUGAUUGUGUGGCUAUAAUUCUCUCACGAAUUAUUAGAGACGACGAUCGACAAAGAAACGACCCGUAAGCAUAUUAGAUUCAUUGGACGGAAUCUUUAGUCGAGGUAAGGGGUGAGAUGAGGUUCGAUUUUAUGAGUAUAAAAUAACGUUAGAUGAACGGAAAUACCGAAACUCCCAGAUGCUCAUUCAAGGCUUACUACGUACGGUUGAGCCCUAUUGAAUAAUAAUAAUUAAUUAGUAAUAUAUGACUGGUAAUUGUGAGGACGAAAAUUUAGAAACCUAUAGAAUUGUCGUGAAUUAAUUUAUAAUAAGAUUGCGUUUUAUUUGAUUUUAUGAAACCUAUACUAAUUGUUAUUGUAUGAAUGAUAUGUAUUUGAGUGUUCUUGUCUACUUGAUUGAAAUUCUGAUAUUACUUGAAAGUGCACCUAAUUGAUUCCUUAUUAUGUGAUUGAUGAGACUGGACUGAAUAUUGUGAAGUCAAACUGAAACUUAUUGAGUUGUGAUGAUCAAGUAAGUCUCAGAAAUGUGUUGUAGAUUUUGGAGUUUGGACUAUUUUGUAAUCAUAUAGGGAGGGUUUGACAAACCUAGUGAUUCAGGGAAGUACAACUAAAUGAGCCUGAUCGUGGAGGGCUACAGUCAAACUGUAAGGUAAGACUGAUAGACCUUGGGGUAUCUCUAGUGGGGAAUUUCUAAGUAGAUUAGUGGGUUAUUCCUUAUGACCGGCAACUACCGUGCAACACAAGAGUAUCCCAACCGUCGUGUAUAUGUGUCUCGGGUUGAGUUGAGGGGAUCUAUGAGGAUUUGGCCAUUCAUGAAUUGUCUGUCCACUCUUGUAGUGGCAUAGUAUCUGGCCUCCUAACCAAGUACUUAAGAGUAGAAUGAUACUAAAUGAUGAAGUAUAGAGUAUAUGACUUGCAUAACAUUUUGUCCUUGUAACUGUUAUAUUGUGCUUGAAUUAGAUUAACCUUUGAUAUUAUGUUCUUGAAUGUUCUCUUUAUUUGUGUUGUUUUGACUAAUUGUGUGUUCUCCUCGUGUAUUUUAUAUUGUUGCAUAACUUCGAAACUCACCGUUCGUUGUUUGUGUUUGGCGUUUGCGAUGGACGCAUAUGAGUUGUAAGCUGCAGAUGAUGACUAGUACCAUUUGAGAGGCGGAAGCCACCUUGUCUUGAAUACUCUUAUUAUAUGCAUUGUGUUCAUGUUAUUUUGAGCAUAUUUUUAUUUUGGGAAUUUCCGCUCUGGUAGUGACAUCGGGUUGGGACUACAUGUGCACUUAAUAUUAAACUUAUGUAUGUGUACAUCAAAAAGAAUUUUGUUGUUUGAUAAUAUGAUUGCAAU
This 1375-nucleotide long non-coding RNA is filed under the name Cicer arietinum (chickpea). Its description in RNAcentral is "long non-coding RNA (CARI_LNC003146)". Lineage: Eukaryota; Viridiplantae; Streptophyta; Magnoliopsida; Fabales; Fabaceae. The record is from RNAcentral.